Ipomoea triloba (trilobed morning glory) is the source of this 3006-nucleotide RNA transcript. It is a transcript of the gene named RNA polymerase II C-terminal domain phosphatase-like 2, with no coding region annotated. The record is from RefSeq and is a predicted model, not a curated record. NCBI's taxonomy places the organism in Eukaryota, Viridiplantae, Streptophyta, Magnoliopsida, Solanales, Convolvulaceae. The transcript has 15 exons.
UAAAGUUUAAACCGAUGCGAGAAGUUAGAGCGGCAUGAGAGCGCGCGAGUUUUAGAGAGAGAAAGAGAGUGAGUGAGAGAGAUAGAGUGAGAAUAAUGCAGUGAAGAGAAGAAAGAAAAUUCAUCGAGAAAAUCACAAAUUUUCUUCACAUUUGUUAAAUUGUGCUCAUUGGAUUUGAAGUGUGCGAGAGAGGUUUUCCGAUGAGGUUCAAAUCAGUGGUGUACUAUGGAGAGGCGCGUUUAGGAGCGCUGGAAACUGUAACAGUGAAGGACCAGAAUUUCGUAUUUCCCAACAACGAGAUACGCAUCCACCAUAUCUCUCAGAACAGCGAGCGGUGCCGUCCUCUCGCUGUUUUUCAAACAAUUUCCUCCCCUGUUCGUUGCAAGCUUGAACCAAGCUCCGAUUCCAGCAACGUCUCUACUGCCGAGCAAUCUCCGUUGAUCAAUCUUCAUUCCUCUUGCUUCUAUGAACUCAAGACAGCAGUGGUAUUAUUAGGGGAUGAAGAAGUACACUUAGUUGCAAUGCCCAGUAAACAGAAGAAAUUUCCCUGUUUCUGGUGCUUCUCUGCGCCGCGUGGGUUAUAUGGUUCAUGUUUGGGAAUGCUAAAUAUGAGGUGUUUAUCUAUUGUGUUUGAUCUUGACGAGACGCUGAUUGUUGCUAAUACAAUGAGGUCAUUUGAGAAUAGGAUUGAGGCUUUGCGAGGUUGGACUGCACGAGAGACAGAUCCAGUUCGGGUGUUAGGUAUGUCAGCAGAGAUGAAGAGAUACACCGAGGACAGGGUAUUACUAAAGCAGUACAUAGAGGGUGAUUGUGUUGUGGAUGGUAAUAAAGUAUAUAAGGCUGUUCAAGAGGAGGUUCCCCAGUUAUCUGAUGGGCAUGAGCGCAUUCUUCGUCCAGUCAUAAGAUUGCAGGAAAAGAAUAUUGUCCUUACACGCAUCAAUCCAGAGAACCGUGACACUAGUGUGCUAGUCAGACUACGGCCUGCUUGGGAUGAUUUGAAAACUUAUUUGACAGCUAAAGGUCGCAAAAGAUUUGAAGUAUAUGUUUGCACAAUGGCAGAAAGGGAUUAUGCAUUGGAGAUGUGGAGGUUGCUUGACCUGGAGGCACAGCUUAUCUGCACAAAGCAAAUAGUGGACCGGAUUGUAUGUGUUAAAUCAGUGGCAAAAAAGUCUUUACUUAAUGUCUUCCAAGGUGGCAUUUGCCAUCCAAAAUUAGCAAUGGUAAUUGAUGAUUGUUUAAAAGUGUGGGAAGAUAUGGAUCAGCCUCAUGUUCAUGUAGUCCCUCCCUUUACACCAUAUUAUGCUCCGCAAGCCGAGACAGCAAAUGUUGUUCCAGUGCUAUGUGUGGCAAGAAAUGUCGCAUGUGAUGUUCGAAGUCGUUUCUUCAAAGAGUUAGAUGAGAGCCUACUACAAAACAUUGCCAACAUUUCUUAUGAAGAUGAAGGGGUGAAUUUACCUUCUGGACCUGAUAUUAGCCAUUACUUGGCAUUUGAGGACUCUGGUUUUUUAUCAAAUGGAAAUUUCAACCCUCCCAUCCCUAAGGGAAUGUGUGGACCUGCAGUUGCACAAAGAUUGGAUCAGCAGGAUGGGAAAAAUAAUAUGAAUCCUGCUACACCUUUGAUGCCUCUUAAUCCAGUACUGAAAUCUGAACACUCUCAAUCUGUUCUAGGAUGUGCUCCUAAUGUAUCUGGUUCACUGCCUAUCAGAGGAGGUUUGCUGUUAGAAAAACCUAGUUUGCUUGGAGUUCCAUUCAGAAGAGAUAACAACAUUUCUGAAACUGAUCGUGAUGGAAGGAGAAGAGUUAGGCAUCAAGGUUCGGCAGAGCCUCCUCUUUUAUCGAGAGUGCCACAAAAAAUUCCAGUGCUUCCCUUGCAAACACUGGGAUCCUGUUUGGUAGAAGAUGACACCAACAGAGGACAUUUUGGUAGCCAAACACAAGGACUUAUUCAAGACUUUGAUGCAUUUAGACCCGAUAAACAAGGUCUUUUACCAUUGCAUGUUUCUGCAAUGAAGAGUGAAGAGAAAAUUUCAAUGCAUAAGAAGAAUGUUCCAAAUCCAGUAACUGAUAUUGUUUCGCAAAAUCAGUUGCCCUCUGGUAAUAUAGACUUCCAACUGGAAGGUGGGAAAAUGAAUUUCUUACCCUCUAUAGCUAUUGGGGCGUUGCAAGAAAUUGGAAGGCGAUGCACCUCAAAGGUUGAAUUUAGGCCUGUUGUGAGUACCAGUGCUGAACUACAAUUUUCAGUUGAGGUCUUCUUCACUGGUGAGAAAAUUGGUGUUGGCGUGGGUAAAACAAUAAAGGAUGCUCAGCAACAGGCAGCUGCAAAUGCCCUACGUAGCUUAGCUGAUAAAUAUAUCUCCCAUGUUGAAUCUUAUAAUGGAGUGGUGGAUAAAGAUUUUAAUAAUCUUUCACUGGAAAAUGAAAAUGGAUUUUUGUGGGACUCUCUCAAUCUGGAAGAUAAAAAGCUGGCUGAUGGAAAAUUGGUGAAAGUAAAUGGCUCUGAGGUGGGACUCUGAUAUUAUUGCGCAUGAUUGAUUUGGUCUGUCUGAUUGUAAACAUAGGUGAUGCUUGGAUGUGAGAUGUGUGGAUAGCUCUUUCAAGAUGAGAGGUAGUGAUUAUUUUGAGUUAGAUCACUCCUUUCUGCAAUUUUGCAUCACCAGAGUUGAGAGCAAAAUGAGGAAAUUUGGAGUGAGCUGGCCUUAAUGUUCACUACCAUUAUCUUAGUAUCUUGUACAUAUUUCCUGGUUAGAGGUUGUUGAAGAGGCACACCAUAGGCCUUCUUUCAAUGGAAUAAAUGAAGAGGUGCUAAAAUGUAGCAAUUCUUCCAGGUAAUGUAAUGUGAAGACCCUAUAGCUAUAGAUAGAUUUUAUCAUUGCCUAGUUUUUUUUUAGUAGUAUUCGAUGUUUAAGCCUUAUAUGGGAAUGAAUUACGUAGAAAAAGGCAGACUCUCAUGUCCUCUGCGGUAAUAAUAAUAAUCUAUGUCCAACUUUGCUUAUAAAUUCUUGGUUU